RNAcentral lists this ribosomal RNA (497 nucleotides) under uncultured bacterium. RNAcentral's name for it is "partial 16S ribosomal RNA". It matches the Rfam family "Bacterial small subunit ribosomal RNA", at positions 28 to 507 of the family's 1533-position model. The record is from RNAcentral.
GAUGAACGCUGGCGGCGUGCCUAACACAUGCAAGUCGAGCGAAAGGACGGGAAGCUUUCGCCCCGGAUGUUGGCGGCGGACGGGCGAGUAACACGUGGAUAACCUACCUACAAGACUGGGGUAACUACGGGAAACCAGAGCUAAUACCGGAUAAUUUUUUGAACUGCAGGGUUCAAAAGUGAAAGACGGUCUUGCUGUCAGUGAUAGAUGGAUCCGCGCUGCAUUAGCUAGUGGGUGAGGUAGAGGCUUACCCAGGCAACGAUGCAUAGCCGACCCGAAAGGGUGAUCGGCGACCCUGGAACUGAGCCAGGGUCCAGACUCCUACGGGAGGACGCAGUGGGGAAUCUUACGCAAGGGACGAGAGCCUGACGGAGCAACGCCGCGUGAGUGAUGAAGGUCUUCGGAUCGUAAAGCUCUGUUAUUAGUAGAGAACAAAUGUGUAAGUAACUGUGCACAUCUUGACGGUACCUAAUGAAAAAGCCACGGCUAACUACGUG